UUGCAGACUGCGUGCAAGUAUGUCAUUGCGUUUGAUUUUCACAGCCUUCCUGAAAAGUCAACCGUGAUCACCCUCAUUCCUGAGAAAGAAACUGGGACUCAGAGAUUAAGCGACUUGGUCCAAACAGCCGAGCUAGAAUCUACCUAAAACCAGAACAGGCCCUUCUUCUACAUCCUACCCUGCAGCGCCCUAUAGAACAUUACAGACCUGCAGUCAUCUCGGGGUACGAAGUUCAAUCCCAGCUCCCCUGUUCCACUCCUACCCCUGGAAUUUUGGCCAAUUCUUGGCAUCCUGAGCAGAAAGGCCCUGCCACAAUGAACGCUGAACUGGUUACUGAGAAUGAGUUUAAUAUGAUCAAGAGGACACUGACCAACUUUAUGUUGCUAGAUAAAGUUGCAGUGGCAAAAAAGAUUGGAGAGCGC
Long non-coding RNA from Felis catus (domestic cat), 422 nucleotides. RefSeq lists it as uncharacterized. The transcript has 3 exons. The record is from RefSeq and is a predicted model, not a curated record. NCBI's taxonomy places the organism in Eukaryota, Metazoa, Chordata, Mammalia, Carnivora, Felidae.